RNAcentral lists this ribosomal RNA (383 nucleotides) under uncultured bacterium. Its description in RNAcentral is "bacterial SSU rRNA". It matches the Rfam family "Bacterial small subunit ribosomal RNA", at positions 32 to 405 of the family's 1533-position model. The record is from RNAcentral.
AUUGAAACGCUGGCGGCAGGCCUAACACAUGCAAGUCGAACGGUAACAGGAAGAAGCUUGCUUCUUUGCUGACGAGUGGCGGACGGGUGAGUAAUGUCUGGGAAACUGCCUGAUGGAGGGGGAUAACUACUGGAAACGGUAGCUAAUACCGCAUAACGUCGCAAGACCAAAGAGGGGGGACCUUCGGGCCUCUUGCCAUCGGAUGUGCCCAGAUGGGAUUAGCUAGUAGUGGGGUAACGGCUCACCUAGGCGACGGAUCCCCUAGCUGGUCUGAGAGGAUGACCAGCCACACUGGAACUGAGACACGGUCCAGACUCCUACGGGAGGCAGCAGUGGGAAUAUUGCACAAUGGGCGCAAGCCUGAUGCAGCCAUGCCGCGUGUA